UACGUAGGGUGCAGACGUAUUGAAUGAAUCUGGGCGUAAAGCGUGCGCAGGCGGUUAUGUAAGACAGUUGUGAAAUCCCCGGGCUCAACCUGGGAAUUGCAUCUGUGACUGCAUAGCUAGAGUACGGUAGAGGGGGAUGGAAUUCCGCGUGUAGCAGUGAAAAUGCGUAGAUAUGCGGAGGAACACCGAUGGCGAAGGCAAUCCCCUGGACCUGUACUGACGCUCAUGCACGAAAAGCGUGGGGGAGCAAACAGG
Molecule: ribosomal RNA, 255 nt
Filed under: uncultured bacterium
Lineage: Bacteria
Description: partial 16S ribosomal RNA
Rfam family: Bacterial small subunit ribosomal RNA
Source: RNAcentral